This is a small nuclear RNA of Octodon degus (degu), 106 nucleotides long. The record is from Ensembl. NCBI's taxonomy places the organism in Eukaryota, Metazoa, Chordata, Mammalia, Rodentia, Octodontidae.
GUGCUCACUUCAGCAGCACAUAUACUAAACUUGGAAUGACAAAAGAGAAGACUAGUGUAGUCCCUGUGCAAGGAUAACACAAAUUUGUGAAACAUUCCAUAUUUUU